RNAcentral lists this ribosomal RNA (500 nucleotides) under uncultured bacterium. RNAcentral describes it as "partial 16S ribosomal RNA". It matches the Rfam family "Bacterial small subunit ribosomal RNA", at positions 30 to 523 of the family's 1533-position model. The record is from RNAcentral.
AUUGAACGCUGGCGGCAGGCCUAACACAUGCAAGUCGAGCGGAUGAGGGGUGCUUGCACCCCGAUUCAGCGGCGGACGGGUGAGUAAUGCCUAGGAAUCUGCCCGAUAGUGGGGGACAACGUUUCGAAAGGAACGCUAAUACCGCAUACGUCCUACGGGAGAAGGUGGGGGCUCUUCGGACCUCCCGCUAUCGGAUGAGCCUAGGUCGGAUUAGCUAGUUGGUGGGGUAAAGGCUCACCAAGGCGACGAUCCGUAACUGGUCUGAGAGGAUGAUCAGGCACACUGGAACUGAGACACGGUCCAGACUCCUACGGGAGGCAGCAGUGGGGAAUAUUGGACAAUGGGCGAAAGCCUGAUCCAGCCAUGCCGCGUGUGUGAAGAAGGUCUUCGGGUUGUAAAGCACUUUCAGUCGGGAGGAAGGGGUGCAGGUUAAUACCUUGCAGCCUUGACGUUACCGACAGAAUAAGCACCGGCUAACUUCGUGCCAGCCGCCGCAGUAA